AUUGAACGCUGGCGGCAGGCUUAACACAUGCAUGUCGAGCGGGGAAGAGUAGCUUGCUACUUUACCUAGCGGCGGACGGGUGAGUAAUGCUUAGGAAUCUGCCUAUUAGUGGGGGACAACAUCUCGAAAGGGAUGCUAAUACCGCAUACGUCCUACGGGAGAAAGCAGGGGACCUUCGGGCCUUGCGCUAAUAGAUGAGCCUAAGUCGGAUUAGCUAGUUGGUGGGGUAAAGGCCUACCAAGGCGACGAUCUGUAGCGGGUCUGAGAGGAUGAUCCGCCACACUGGUGACUGAGACACGGUCCCAGACUCCUACGGGAGGCAGCAGUGGGGAAUAUUGGACAAUGGGGGGAACCCUGAUCCAGCCAUGCCGCGUGUGUGAAGAAGGCCUUUUGGUUGUAAAGCACUUUAAGCGAGGAGGAGGCUACCGAGAUUAAUACUCUUGGAUAGUGGACGUUACUCGCAGAAUAAGCACCGGCUAACUCUGUGCCAGCAGCCGCGGUAAUACAGAGGGUGCAAGCGUUAAUCGGAUUUACUGGGCGUAAAGCGCGCGUAGGUGGCCAAUUAAGUCAAAUGUGAAAUCCCCGAGCUUAACUUGGGAAUUGCAUUCNAUACUGGUUGGCUANAGUAUGGGAGAGGAUGGUAGAAUUCCAGGUGUAGCGGUGAAAUGCGUAGAGAUCUGGAGGAAUACCGAUGGCGAAGGCAGCCAUCUGGCCUAAUACUGACACUGAGGUGCGAAAGCAUGGGGAGCAAACAGGAUUAGAUACCCUGGUAGUCCAUGCCGUAAACGAUGUCUACUAGCCGUUGGGGCCUUUGAGGCUUUAGUGGCGCAGCUAACGCGAUAAGUAGACCGCCUGGGGAGUACGGUCGCAAGACUAAAACUCAAAUGAAUUGACGGGGGCCCGCACAAGCGGUGGAGCAUGUGGUUUAAUUCGAUGCAACGCGAAGAACCUUACCUGGUCUUGACAUAGUAAGAACUUUCCAGAGAUGGAUUGGUGCCUUCGGGAACUUACAUACAGGUGCUGCAUGGCUGUCGUCAGCUCGUGUCGUGAGAUGUUGGGUUAAGUCCCGCAACGAGCGCAACCCUUUUCCUUAUUUGCCA
Molecule: ribosomal RNA, 1100 nt
Filed under: Acinetobacter sp. IK1_03
Lineage: Bacteria; Pseudomonadati; Pseudomonadota; Gammaproteobacteria; Moraxellales; Moraxellaceae
Description: bacterial SSU rRNA
Rfam family: Bacterial small subunit ribosomal RNA
Source: RNAcentral